GCUCUUUAUUAGAUAUAAUUAAAAUAUUAUAUAUUUCUUUGAAUGAAAUUUUGUCCAGAUUGUAAUACAAUCCAUGGCUAUUCAUCUUUAUAUCAUGUUGAAAAUGAAUUUUAGUAUUUAAAGAUGUUUUACUCUUUAAUUUUUCUUUCCAAGAUUUGGGUAUAGCUUUACGUAAAAUACAUGUUUCUGCUAUCCAAUUUUGUUUCCUUUUAAGUUUGUCUAAGAUUUUUUUGGAAAUUUCUCCUUUAUCGUCGAUUAUAUCGUUUAAUAAAAAUUAUAUCUUCUUCUAUCCAAUGUUUAAAAUACAAACUUUUGCCUUGAUUCUUAAUAUAUUGAUUUCCCCAUAUAACUUGUUUCCUGAUAUCUAAAAAGUUCUCAGGUUUUUUUGUCUUCCCGCCACCAUUUUUAAUCCAGCAUUUUAAGAUUUCUAAGUAAAAAGUAGGCAGGUUUUUUAUGUUUUCUAAUGAUUUAUGAGAACCCAGAUUCAUUUUAAAUAUGAGGUUUUUUACCCCCAAACUCACUGAAAUAAUAGGUUGGAAUAAUUUUCCAGUUUGCCCAAGUUUCAUCUGUAAGUCUUUUAACCCAAUUUAUUUUCAUUGCUUCAAUGUAAGAAUCUAGAUCUGUCAUUUUUAACCCCCCUUCUAAAUAAUUUUUUCUUAGCACUGAGCGUUUAACUUUCUCACUACCACCCUCCCAUAAAAAAAUAUAUAUCAUCUUCUUAAACUUAGAUAUAGUUUCUUUGCACAGAUUUAUUAGUGAUGCAAUAUAUGUUAUAUUAGGUAUGACAAGUGUUUUGAUGAUAGUGAUUUUACCAAUCAUGCUAAUUUUCCUUUUUUUCCAAUCAUUAAUUAUUUUUUCUGAUUUUUCCAACUGUUUUUCUGUAUUAAGUUUUUGACAUUCUUUCUUGUCAGAGCCAAAAUAAAUACCAAGACUUUUUACGUUAUGUUUCCAAUUAAUGUUUUCAAAUUUGUCUUUGCAAUGUUUAAGUUUACCUAGCCAUAUACCUUCUGUUUUGUUUCUAUUGAGUUUGAGUCCAGAGAGCGAUCCAAAGGUUUCAAUUAUAUUAAGUGCAUGCUUUAUUUCAUUUUUA
RNAcentral lists this long non-coding RNA (1090 nucleotides) under Mytilus galloprovincialis (Mediterranean mussel). Lineage: Eukaryota; Metazoa; Mollusca; Bivalvia; Mytilida; Mytilidae. The record is from RNAcentral.